CGAGUGAAGAGGGAAGAGCUCAAAUUUUGAAUCUGGCGUCUUUGGCGUCCGAAUUGUAAUCUAGAGAAGUGUUUUCCAUGACGGACCGUGCAUAAGUCUCCUGGAAUGGAGUGUCAUAGAGGGUGAGAAUCCCGUAUAUGGCACGGACUCCCGUUGUUCUGUGAUACACUCUCGACGAGUCGAGUUGUUUGGGAAUGCAGCUCUAAAUGGGUGGUAAAUGCCAUCUAAAGCUAAAUAUUGGCGAGAGACCGAUAGCGAACAAGUACCGUGAGGGAAAGAUGAAAAGCACUUUGGAAAGAGAGUGAAACAGUACGUGAAAUUGUUGAAAGGGAAACGCUUGAAGUCAGUCGCGCCGUUCGGGAUUCAGCCUUGCUUCUGCUCGGUUUACUUCCCGUUGGGUGGGUCAACAUCAGUUUCGGACGGAGGAGAAAGGCUUGGGGAAGGUAGCAGCAUUCGUGCUGUGUUAUAGCCCCUUGUUGUAUACUUCGACCGGGACUGAGGACUGCAGCACGCCUAUGGCCGGGGUUUACCCACGUACGUGCUUAGGAUGUUGGCA
This 556-nucleotide ribosomal RNA is filed under the name Sebacina sp. Seb26L. RNAcentral describes it as "eukaryotic LSU rRNA". It matches the Rfam family "Eukaryotic large subunit ribosomal RNA", at positions 90 to 631 of the family's 3401-position model. The record is from RNAcentral. Lineage: Eukaryota; Fungi; Basidiomycota; Agaricomycetes; Sebacinales; Sebacinaceae.